GGUUAAGCGACUAAGCGUACACGGUGGAUGCCCUGGCAGUCAGAGGCGAUGAAGGACGUGCUAAUCUGCGAAAAGCGUCGGUAAGGUGAUAUGAACCGUUAUAACCGGCGAUGUCCGAAUGGGGAAACCCAGUGUGAUUCGUCACACUAUCGUUAACUGAAUACAUAGGUUAACGAGGCGAACCGGGGGAACUGAAACAUCUAAGUACCCCGAGGAAAAGAAAUCAACCGAGAUUCCCCCAGUAGCGGCGAGCGAACGGGGA
This 262-nucleotide ribosomal RNA is filed under the name Klebsiella variicola. RNAcentral's name for it is "partial 23S ribosomal RNA". It matches the Rfam family "Bacterial large subunit ribosomal RNA", at positions 1 to 263 of the family's 2925-position model. The record is from RNAcentral. Lineage: Bacteria; Pseudomonadati; Pseudomonadota; Gammaproteobacteria; Enterobacterales; Enterobacteriaceae.